Molecule: long non-coding RNA, 1057 nt
Filed under: Felis catus (domestic cat)
Lineage: Eukaryota; Metazoa; Chordata; Mammalia; Carnivora; Felidae
Description: lncRNA (ENSFCAG00000044094.2)
Source: RNAcentral
AUUUCAAAGAUUUGUAUAUAAAUGAAACCAGAGUGAAACCCGUCUUGAAUCUGUUUCACUUUCCCGGUUUGGGGUAUAGCGCGCCCACUAAAAUUUAGUCAAACUGCAAUGAUGACAUAGAUAGUCCAGAAAAAGUGAUUUUGAGUGGCUGGUGACUUCCCCUGCUUAUGUCAUCUUACAUGCUCACUGAACAAAUCGGCUUAACGAUGUGACAAUCGACAAGGUGCCUGAGAAAUACUUUAUAUGCAGAAAACGAAGUCUUCUCAAGGUUUCUUCCCAAGUGCGCGGAAGUGCACCCUUAGUUCCCCGGACCGCUAUCAAAGGUCGCCUCUUUCGCGCAAGUGGAAAUAACCCCAAACCUCAAUCCAGCAUCUGAAGCACCCAAAAUACUCCUCUCCGUAUGUAUUCUCUCAUCUCCUCCAUUUCAUUCCUUAACUUUCUAGGCCCACAGAUGCGGCUCUCGUAGCCCCUUUGGGGGCCAGAACCCUGAAUAGCCACCCUCACUCAACCGCCCCCCUGAACGGGAAGGCAGGCUUCCUUAGUCGGGCAGGACCAGCAGCCUCCCAGGCCCCUCGUGGCCGCGAGGUGGAAGCUCUCUCCUGCCCUUUACCUCAGUGCUUCGUACCCGCGGGAAAUCAAGUUAGAAAACUGCAACCUUCCCCCCGAUCUACUCCUCCUCCCGGCUCCUCACAUUUCUCUAACCGUUUUCCCCAGAAGCAUCCCGCCGGGGGAUGAAUUCGAAGACUCUCCCGACCCUCCAGUGCUGGAUUCUGGCCGGCGCCCGGUCUCUCUCCACCCCAGCCGCCCCUCCAGUGAGAAUUGCAGCAUGGUGUUUUGCACACUGCCUGUAACAUGAAUGGACAAAAAAGUUGAAGACUAUGUGAGUAUAAAAACAAGAGUUAUUAAGUCUACGAUGAUGGUAUGAUGGGAAAAUUACUGUUGAUCACAUUUAGUUAAAGAGAUAUGAACAGUAUGAAACUACUGUAUAUUCUGAGCCUCCAGCUAAGAGGUCGUCAAUGCCAAUAAAUCCAUGUUUCUUAAUAAUUUUGAUGCUAUU